UCCGGUUUGACACCGGCAGUCUCCCUAGAGUGCCCGCCAUAACGCGCUGGCAACAUCGAACGAGGGUUGCGCUCGUUGCGGGACUUAACCCAACAUCUCACGACACGAGCUGACGACAACCAUGCACCACCUGCACACAGGCCACAAGGGAACCGACAUCUCUGCCGGCGUCCUGUGCAUGUCAAACCCAGGUAAGGUUCUUCGCGUUGCAUCGAAUUAAUCCACAUGCUCCGCCGCUUGUGCGGGCCCCCGUCAAUUCCUUUGAGUUUUAGCCUUGCGGCCGUACUCCCCAGGCGGGGCACUUAAUGCGUUAGCUUCGGCACGGAGAACGUGGAAUGUUCCCCACACCUAGUGCCCACCGUUUACGGCGUGGACUAC
Molecule: unclassified non-coding RNA, 378 nt
Filed under: uncultured Actinomycetes bacterium
Lineage: Bacteria; Bacillati; Actinomycetota; Actinomycetes
Description: uncultured actinobacterium contains 16S-23S intergenic spacer region
Source: RNAcentral